RNAcentral lists this ribosomal RNA (668 nucleotides) under Bacillus aerophilus. Its description in RNAcentral is "bacterial SSU rRNA". It matches the Rfam family "Bacterial small subunit ribosomal RNA", at positions 48 to 700 of the family's 1533-position model. The record is from RNAcentral. Lineage: Bacteria; Bacillati; Bacillota; Bacilli; Caryophanales; Bacillaceae.
GCUAUACAUGCAGUCGAGCGGACAGAAGGGAGCUUGCUCCCGGAUGUUAGCGGCGGACGGGUGAGUAACACGUGGGUAACCUGCCUGUAAGACUGGGAUAACUCCGGGAAACCGGAGCUAAUACCGGAUAGUUCCUUGAACCGCAUGGUUCAAGGAUGAAAGACGGUUUCGGCUGUCACUUACAGAUGGACCCGCGGCGCAUUAGCUAGUUGGUGAGGUAACGGCUCACCAAGGCGACGAUGCGUAGCCGACCUGAGAGGGUGAUCGGCCACACUGGGACUGAGACACGGCCCAGACUCCUACGGGAGGCAGCAGUAGGGAAUCUUCCGCAAUGGACGAAAGUCUGACGGAGCAACGCCGCGUGAGUGAUGAAGGUUUUCGGAUCGUAAAGCUCUGUUGUUAGGGAAGAACAAGUGCAAGAGUAACUGCUUGCACCUUGACGGUACCUAACCAGAAAGCCACGGCUAACUACGUGCCAGCAGCCGCGGUAAUACGUAGGUGGCAAGCGUUGUCCGGAAUUAUUGGGCGUAAAGGGCUCGCAGGCGGUUUCUUAAGUCUGAUGUGAAAGCCCCCGGCUCAACCGGGGAGGGUCAUUGGAAACUGGGAAACUUGAGUGCAGAAGAGGAGAGUGGAAUUCCACGUGUAGCGGUGAAAUGCGUAGAGAUGUG